CCAGAUAACAAUCAACAACAUAGACAUUUCUGAUCUAAUUAUACCUGAAAAGAAACAAAGAAAAAGGAGGAGUGAGUAAUGGGGAUUACUCAGCUAGGAUGGACCUUAAGGUGACUCUCAACACCAUCAUAAUAUACAUGAAUAUUUAUAAAAAAGUUUAAUCUUAAAACAAACCCAAGCAAAAAGCAGAAAAGCAGAAAAGGUAAAAUCUAGAAAACUAAGCAAGCAACACACAGGAGUGUUCCCUACAAGCCACUACUAAACAGCAGGCCUGAUCGAAAUCAGUCGGUGAGUACGGUCACACAGAUGCUCAGCCUUCCCAGCAAGGCAUUCCCAGUCACACCGGACUGUCACACAGAUGCUCAGCCUUCCCGGCAAGGCAUUCCCAGUCACACCAGACUGUUUCACAGACAACGUAUCCAGCAGUCACGUAGAUAGGCUGAGGUCACACAUAUGGCUUGAUGGAUCAUUAAUCCAACAAGUGAUGGCUGCUGUACGGUCUAAAGGCGCAACCCAGCCAGCAAAAAACACUGACAAACCACACAAGGAUAAGCUGGGGACCUAACAGUUCUAUCAUGCCACACACUCAUGUCCACCAACAACAUUUCUUUUUAAUAAAAGCCUUUCCGUUUAUAAAUACAUGUUUGACCGAUUCCAAGUUGUAACAAAAAGGACACUAAUCAAAUUAACAAACAAUCAGUCCAUAUUUUAGGGUUUUAUAGUUUUAAGUCUAGUUCAAGUCAUUGCAUUCCAUUCCAGCAAAAACCAUCAACCAUCAACAAACAAGCAACAGAGAUCCACAUCCAAACAAUUCUAUAAAACCCUAAAAAGCAGAUCUAAGCUUCAGUUUAAGAAAAAACUAACUACAAAUUUACAUGAAUGAAGGAGAGGGUGAAGCAACAAGUCCUCACAAAUGCCUUUCUAGAAGAGGAUACAUUUUUUCCUCCUCUUUGGGCAGAUCUGACACCCAACAUGUAAACGGUGAUAACUCCUGGCAGUGAUCUCCGAUAUUAAAAAACUCGGUCUCCUUAGAAAGAUGACUCUCGGGGAUUCCAUUUAAUAGGUAUAUCGUCACAUGGAUCCUCACGUUUUUCCGGGAAAUCAUCCUGCAAGAAGGCGGCGGCUAGGUAUUUAGAGAGGAGAAAAGAGAAGCUGAUGAAGGAGGAGAGAGAAGUGGCCAAGGGAGAGAGUAAGAGAAAGAGAGUGACGGUGAGAGAAAGAGAGAGGAUGGCGUGGCUGAGAGAGGGAGAAGAGAAGAGAAAAAU
This 1265-nucleotide long non-coding RNA is filed under the name Eutrema salsugineum. RNAcentral describes it as "long non-coding RNA (ESAL_LNC000379)". Lineage: Eukaryota; Viridiplantae; Streptophyta; Magnoliopsida; Brassicales; Brassicaceae. The record is from RNAcentral.